GCAGCCACUUCCGAGACGACGAAAAGAACUGCAAAGAGACCAAACAGAACCAAAGCCUUGGAAGCCAUUUUGUUUUUUUUCAACUUCUUAUAACUCUUUUAGUAUGUUAAAACAAGUGAUGGAUAUAAAAAGUUACAUGCAUGGCUUCUAUUUAUAGGAAACGAAGAGGGGCGAAUGAGAAAAGUCAAACAAUCUAAUCCAUUACAAGGGAGUUAAUUAGGUCGGGUCCGCUUAUGGUUGGAUGUUGGAUUCAUUGUAAAAU
This 262-nucleotide long non-coding RNA is filed under the name Capsella rubella. RNAcentral's name for it is "long non-coding RNA (CRUB_LNC000203)". The record is from RNAcentral. Lineage: Eukaryota; Viridiplantae; Streptophyta; Magnoliopsida; Brassicales; Brassicaceae.